UCAAAACGCAAUCUUUUUAAUGCUGUGUGUGUAAAGUAAACAGAUGCAGGUGUUAAAUUAACAUCUAAAUAACCUGCUAAAUGAACUAACAUGCUAAUUAACAUGCGAAAUGAACGGCUGUAAGCAGUACUGCGUACAUCAAAUUAACGCCCCACAGCUGCUAAAUAUACCUAUACACACGUUCUUUAAUAUGUCAUUUUGAUUCAACAACAUCACAAUUGAAGAUGGCGAGAAGGAACUUCCAUAUCCUCUGCAAACAGACCCUAAAUGGCCGAUAAUCCUGGACUUAAUGCCCUUCGGUCCACGUUAACAAGUCUCUUCAAUCUGUCACAUGACCCGUUAUAUCCUGACAUGUCAGACUUGGCUCUGGAUGAAAAGAUUAAGGACUUGGUGGCUGGGAACGACAAACGUGGACCGGCGGCUGUUCGAUCACCAUUAAGGGCUCUGGGUGCAGAGAUGCAGAGUGAGGGACAGCAUGCUUCGUGUUAACCCGAGGGUGACUGCCCUCAGCCAUGUCACAGAGGCUGCAUAGAAGGUCAUACCGUGUUGCUGGACCAAACUCGUAAUGGCACCUUGAUGGAAACCACAAACUGAUAAGGGAUGCUGAUGGAAAAGGGGCAGCUGAUGAGGGUGGUCCCUCGAGAUUUUCCCCGGCUGCUAAUGAGUGCCAUCCAUUCCUCUGCAAUAUUUGAGGGGCCUGAUUGGGGAAAAUGCCUUUCUUGCAACUCUCAAGCACUCUAUGAUGGCGUAUACAAGCAGGUGGGCCACAUGACUGCUGUCUGUCUGGUACAUGGGGGUGUAGAGCCACAUUUUGUCAGAGAGGCUCUACAGUGUGGCCUACAACCUCCUGUGCCAGAACUGAAAGAAAUUGUGGAAUAUGAUUUCAGAGAGAAGUUGGAGAAGGUAAGUGACUUUAUACUGUGAUGGAUGUUAUGCUACAGUUAAUUUGCACUAAGUUUGAAAAACAUUAGGAUUGUAGUUCAUGAGAUCUUUUCCACAUGGAUCUGGUUUCCUUUUGCUGGCAGUCAAUCUUUAAGGGUAGUGAUAAUCAGUUUGUUUUGCUAAUUUUCCCCCAAACACAGUUCAAUAAACAAUCUAAGAUCCAGUUAGCACAAGCUGUUGAUGAGUCACAGGAAGUGGUUAUGUUGGGUCCAGUGUGAUACAUUCGUACAUUGGAGAGGCCCUGGUGGAGUCAGCCACUAAGUUCUACUUAGAAAGCAGGAUACGGGAUGCUCUUGAGCAGUGAGUUUCCAUAUAUCUAAGGAAUCUCAAGUUUAGUUCAAUUUUUCAGGGCAAAUUCAUUGACUUUUUUUACUUUAUAGAUUCAAAGAGGGUCUGGAGUGUCUAGGUCUCCUGCCUUACAUGAAUAGACACUCAAGCCUCUUCAGAGAGGUUUUUCAUCUAUGCUGAGAAACCUCUUUUGGCCAGACAUAGCUUCUCUCUUCAAAGCAGAGCUCUCCCCACCUGGUACCAAUCAAAGAGCAAUAGAGAGAAGAGUCACAUGUUUCUGGAGGGACUGACGUCUGGAGGUGGAAGGUUAGAUGCAAAACCAUGAUCAUCGAAGUAACAUGGCCCACAUCAGUAAAACAUCACCACUUAAGAGGAUUGUGUUCUCCAACAAGUGUUACUUAUGGACUUGAAUGUCCCCCCCGCUUUCCUUUUUUCAGUGGGGAACACAUUCUCUUCAACCACGUAGAAGGUUUUCACUUCGGGGGCUUCAGCAUUCUGAGGCUGGGCUUGCCAGUGGAGUCACAGCUCUCUCUGCUACCUCACAGCAAGCAGUACCGGAGCACCAAGUCUAGGUCCAAGAGGCUUCUAAACAGAUUCUACCCCCAAGCCAUAAGACUCCUGAACAUCUAAUCAAAUGGCUACCCAGACUAUUUGCUGCUACUCUAUCUAUGCAUGUCACUUUAAUAUCUCUACCUACAUGUAUAUAUUAACUCGACUAACCAGUGCCCCCCUGCACAUUCUCUCUACCGGUAUCCCCUGUAUAU
Oncorhynchus tshawytscha (Chinook salmon) is the source of this 1994-nucleotide long non-coding RNA. The record is from Ensembl. Lineage: Eukaryota; Metazoa; Chordata; Actinopteri; Salmoniformes; Salmonidae.